RNAcentral lists this transfer RNA (73 nucleotides) under Acidobacteriota bacterium. RNAcentral's name for it is "tRNA-Phe". It matches the Rfam family "tRNA". Rfam says of the family: Transfer RNA (tRNA) molecules are approximately 80 nucleotides in length. Their secondary structure includes four short double-helical elements and three loops (D, anti-codon, and T loops). Lineage: Bacteria; Pseudomonadati; Acidobacteriota. The record is from RNAcentral.
GGCUGGAUAGCUGAGACGGCGCGAGCGCCUGCCUGAAGCGCAGGAGACGGUGGUUCGACUCCACCUCCAGCCA